This 18773-nucleotide long non-coding RNA is filed under the name Medicago truncatula (barrel medic). RNAcentral's name for it is "long non-coding RNA (MTRU_LNC000937)". The record is from RNAcentral. Lineage: Eukaryota; Viridiplantae; Streptophyta; Magnoliopsida; Fabales; Fabaceae.
UAAGUUUUCUAGCUAUGACCCACUACAUAUACUUUUCUUAUUAACAUUUAUAUUAUUGUGUGUGUCUAUUUUGCAUGUCAUUAUUUAGGGUUAUAUCAUCAUUGCUUCCACAUCUAAAUAUAUGCGCAUCUUAAUUAUCAACAUUUGGGCAGCUGUCUCAUAAUUAAGAUUAAGAUAGUGGUAUUUCAUUUCAUUUCAUUGUUCCCACUUCCCACCAAUAAAAAAGGAAUCAAUUUUGUACAAAAAAAGAAGAAUCAAUUGUCGACAUAAUAAGGAAGAGUUACUUUUAAGAGGAAAUUCCGGAGAUUAAUAGUCUAAUUCAUGGAAAACGAAUGAAAUAAUUUAGAUACGGUAGGUGUGCAUGUGUUUAAAGCAGCGUAAGAAAGACUUCACUAACAGGUCAAAGAAGUUGGAAAAAUAUCUUUGAAAAUAUGUUUUUGAUAUGGAAAUCUAUGACUUCGUCGUGUGUCCAGCUCAAGUAGCCGUUUAAUGUGCAGAAUCGGAGGAAUUAUAAAAAAUUAAGGUCUUGCAUGUCUUAAAACACAUGUUAAAUUAAACUUCAAUACUUUCUUUGUAAGGGAAAAACUUUAAAUGUGGUAGUUUGACUAGUUAGAUUAUUCACAUAACUUAUUUUAAUCAUACUAUUUUAUUAAUUUAUAAAGACAAAUAUUAGCAUGCAAGAUCUUCAAUUUGUAUCAAUUAAUAUUUUUAUAAUAUUAACUUUUUAUAAUUUCUUAUAAUAAAUACUAAUUAAAUAUAUUAAUUGUUAAACUUAUACAUCGAUAUGUGUGAGUUGAUCAACAACAACUCUGAAUAAAGAAUGGAGAGAGUAUCAUAUAAGUGAACAUGCUAAAAAAUUUCUAAAAAAAAAGCAUCUGUCUAAAAAUUAUAACUAAAUUUACCAAAGAAAAACUCAAGUUUUUUUCUUUUUGAACAAGAGCAAAACGAAAGUUAUUUAAUUAGCACUUUUUUUUACUGGAAUUAAGUAAUACUUGUUUACCUUUUUUUCUCUCCUUAGUAUAUUGUACUUUGUAUAGUUUAAUGGUGGUGGGUUGACAAUCCAAAACAACUUUGCACAUACAAACAAUCAAAACACUCAUAAUUGUCACAUUAGUUGUUUUGGUUAAAAAUCAUUAAUUGAUGUGACAAUUCUAAUUGUUUUGAUUGAUUGUGUGUACAAAGUUAUUUUAAACCAUCAAUCUACCACCAUUAAACUCUAUAACAGUGAUGGAUAUUUAAAAAAAAAACUUAUACAUAUACAUUCAAAUACAUGAAGAGGUACCACCAAAAAAUAAUACUACAAAGCUGAAAAAACACUGGUCAAUUAACCUUUAGUUUGUUUUCACAUAGAUCUUAUGUGAUAAUGAUGAAUGGAAAUUUGAAUCAUAGUGAGUUGUCAAACGUGCGACAAAAAAUAGUAGAUCCAAACCACUUUAAAAAGACGAAGGACCACGUUAUGGAGUACUAGUACUAAAAUAAGGAAAAGAAAACAAAGUUAACUGAGAUACAUAGUGAUUGGUCGGAGUGGGCAUGUGAAACACUGGUUUCGUGAUAACUAGGUGCCAAAUUUAUGUCUAUAGAGGGAAUCACAUCUCCCCAUUUUAUCAUACAUGCAUGCACUUUCAUUCAAAUCAACAACUUUAUUACAUAAGUGUGUACAAAAUUCAAAUUUGAAUUAAAUAUUGUCCUAUUGGUUGGACUCAAAUGAUUCAUCAACUUCCCCUAAGGUUAUAUAUUAUUGUGCAAUUAGUUUCAUCAUGAAUUGCACCAUAGAUUAAUUCAUUAUUUCAUGAAAUAACAUUGCCCCAUAAUUUCUGUUUGUUUCAGAAUCACAAACUUAUUGUAGUGGAAGCAGAUGGAAACUAUGUGCACCCAUUCGCAGUCGAUGACAUCGACAUCUACUCAGGUGAAACCUACUCAGUCCUCCUUACAACAGACCAAGACCCUAAAAAAAACUACUGGCUUUCAAUCGGAGUUAGAGGUAGAAAACCAAGCACACCACAAGCCCUAACAAUCCUUAACUACAAACCACUCUCUGCCUCAGUUUUCCCAACAUCACCACCACCAGUCACACCAUUAUGGAACGAUACCGAUCACAGCAAAGCAUUCACAAAACAAAUCAUUUCCAAAAUGGGAAAUCCACAGCCACCAAAAUCCUCACACCGCACUAUUCACCUCCUCAAUACACAAAACAAAAUCGGUAGUUUCACUAAAUGGGCUAUUAACAAUGUUUCAUUAACAUUGCCAACAACACCUUACUUAGGAUCAAUUAAAUUUAACCUAAAAAAUACAUUUGAUAAAAAUCCACCACCAGAGAGAUUUCCAAUGGAUUAUGACAUAUUUAAAAAUCCAGUGAAUCCAAACACAACUACCGGCAAUGGUGUUUACACGUUCCAGUUGAAUGAGGUUGUUGAUGUGAUACUACAAAAUGCAAACCAGUUAAAUGGGAAUGGUAGUGAAAUUCAUCCAUGGCAUUUGCAUGGACAUGAUUUUUGGGUUUUGGGAUAUGGUGAAGGGAGAUUUAGACCAGGAGUUGAUGAGAGAAGUUUCAAUUUGACACGUGCACCUUUGAGGAACACUGCAGUUAUAUUUCCAUAUGGUUGGACUGCACUAAGGUUUAAGGCAGAUAAUCCUGGUGUUUGGGCAUUUCAUUGUCACAUUGAACCACAUUUGCAUAUGGGAAUGGGUGUUAUUUUUGCUGAGGCUGUUCAUAAAGUUAGGAACAUACCUAAAGAAGCUCUUAAAUGUGGUGCUACAGCCUAGAUGUUCCUAAUGACAUUCAAAAUUGAGUCUAGUUAAUUAUUUAUGCCAACCAUUAAUUUCAUAUGAGUGUUUUUUCUUCUCUUUCUAAGAUUUCAUCACUUCAUGGAAUGUUUUGUUGUGUUAAUGUUAUGCUAUGCAUGUUUCUCAUGUAUAAUUAGGUCAUUUAUCCAACUCCCUGCUGCGUGAAUAAUAUGUAGGGGGUUUUAUUUUUGUGGCAAAUUUGUGUAACAUAUUAAUUUAUAAGAAAUAUCUAUAGUGAUGAACGAUUAAUCAACGAAUAAAGGUGAUAAAUUUGCAUGAUAUGUUAAUGGCUCUCUUUCAUUGCAUUUGUUGUCUAAUAAUUAAACUGUUCCCAUUUCAGUAAAAAGAGAGAAGAACUAUGUAAAUGUUUGGUUAUGCAAUUUGAUUUUGAAUGAUUAGAUCCAGUAAAGUUUCCUUUUGAUAAAUAGAUCAAGUAAAGUUAUUUGUGACAAAUAUGGAGUUGAAUGUAAAGUUUCCUUUAUCUAGUUACUUUGAAGAUAAAAUAAAGGGGGAUCUUCAGAAUUCCGUGUAAAUCUCUCUCACUUCACAAAUAAACACGACAGACUAAAACUCUAAUAAACACUUUGGCAAUUGCGGCUUCAUUAGUCUUCUUAGCUUUAGAGUCUUCCUUUAUAUAGCCUUAGAAUAGCAUGAGCUUGAUGAGCAACUUGGGCUAACCGUCUUUAUCACAAUAUUCCAAAAGUAAAUAUAUUGUUUCCUUAAAUGUUACAACAUCACACUUAAGAAAUACGCAAGGCACAACCGCAUUCUGCAACUUCUAGAAAACACAUACGCUUAUUGGUCAACACACUGCGUGAAUCAUAUUUUCAGAGAAUCUUCAGUGAUCUCACGCUUAAAACCAAAUCUUUCAAGAAUGUGAAACAAUGUACACUACGAUGUCGUACCAACAUGUCAAGACAUCUUGUCCAACAUCUUGCUAAAACACUUGUUUUAACAAAAUGCAGCCAAUCACAAUCUAAACACCUAUCAGAAACUAAGUUAUCUAAAGUCCCUUGAGAGCAUUUUACUACUCCAACUAAAAAUACGCUUCCAAACUUGAUCAUUAACGUAGUUAAAAAUCAAUUUUUAAUUUUUGGCUAUCAUAGUUGAGAGAUACUUUUUUCUUUCAUUCUUUUUUUCCCUGAUCUGUCCCAUAAAGAAUUAUUUUGAGGAAGAUUUAUAGUCUCACAUUCAUGACAGAUUGAUGAAGAAAUUGCCUCCUUUCCGAAGUACUCGUCAGAAUCCAUGGAAGUACCCCUUUGCCGGUGAGAUGGAAGGAGGUAGCACCCACACAUACGCUCUGACGCCCAAGUAAGGUGGAAAACAUGAGGUUGAGAGAUUUUACGAAUAGAAUGAACUUACUUAGAAUUGUAGUAGAAUCCCCUAUAUAUAGACAUGAGGGAGAAUGCUGGGUUUUGAGUUUUAUUAGACCUUACCAUGUAGUUGGGCAUCUGCUAAGUGGAUAAGACCUUUAGCCGGUCCGAAACAGUUUCAAUGCACUCUGUAACCUUUAGAAUAUCAGAGAUUGUAUCCUUCGAGCUAUGAGGGAUAUUUCUACUAAAGAAAAUCUUAGAUUUUUGCAUGUUAUUCAUUUGUCCAAAAGUAUUACCAUAUGUAUAUAAGAUUCCAUUCAGGCUUAAAGCAGUGGCCAAUUUAUGUUUCCCUUAAGUUCAAUCAGGCUUAAACUAUACACCCUCCGAUCAUUGUUAUAAGUAAAAAUCUAUAUUUUAAGUUUAUACAAUUAAUGUUGUUUAUGGUUUUUUUAUAAUAGACCACAUACAUAAUUCAAUGAAUGAAUCUAAAAUGUUGAUUUUUACUUAUAAUAAUGACCGGAUGAUGUACGAAAUAAGAUUUAGAACGACCUCAAAAUACAUGUUUUUAUGUAGUUACUCUUAGCUUAAAUUCAGGGUUAAAUAAGUUUUUGGUCCUUAUAUAUAUCUAAAAUUUUAUUUUUAGUUCCUCUACAAAUUUUCAACAUGUUUUGGUCCCUUAAAUAAUUUUUUACGACUUUCGAUUCCUACUUUUCAGUACGCUCAUGUAUAUCCUUCAAAAUUUUGAAUUUAUUUUAGCAAAUAUGUUUAGUACAUUAUAUAAAUCUAUCUUGCAAAAGUUUGAUUUUAUUUUUUUAACAAUUGAUGAAUUAAAUAUGAAUUUUUUAAGUAUUUGGCGCUUAAAAAUUUAUAUUUAGUUAAGAAAUUCAAAGUGCGGAAGAGAAAGUUAUAAUUUUCUAAACAUAUGUAAAAACUCUUGAGUUGAAUUAAAAAAAAAAAAAGACCAAAACUCAUGAUAAAAAACAUAUUUGAUGACCAAAACUAACUGAAUUUUUUAUAAGGACUAAAAAUGAAUUUUGAUAUAUUUGUAAACAUCAAAAAACUUAACUAACCCUUCAAACUAUCGUUAAAAUGAAAUAUUUAUUUUCCUAGUUAAACUUAAAAUCAAACAUGUACCCAAAAAAUAAUUAAAAUCGAUCAAGACAUAUACUACUCACACUCCAAAAAACCCAAGUUACACCCCAUAAUGACUAAUAUAUCCUUUAACUAAAUUUACACUAACAUCUUAUAUAUGUAAACUGAGUUUACAUUAACUACGUAAAUUGAGUUUACACUAACUUCUUAUAUACAUAUGCAAACUGAGUUUACACUAAUCUCUUAUAUAUAUACGUAAACUGAACUUACAUUAACUACGUAAACUGAGUUUACAAUAACCUCUUAUAUACAUACGUAAACUCAUUUCACGUAAACUGAGUUUACACUAAUCUCUUAUAUACAUGUAAACUCAUUUGACGUAAACCUCUUAUAUACAUACGUAAACUGAGUUUACACUAACCUCUCACUAUGUAAAAUCAAAUUAACAGAGGCAUAUCUCAUACCAAAACAAACAAUAAACAAAUAGAAACUCUUGGAAAAUGAAAUUCACUAACCUUUAUGAAUAGAAUACAUAUCAAUGAAAAAUAUGUUGAUUCAAUCUUUGAUCUUGGUAGCACAUCUAUGAUGAUUUUUGGAUGAAAGGGGGUGAAGGUUCAGAAUGAUAAUGAAAGAAGGGUUUUUAAAAAUCUACAUGAAGAGGGCAAUUUUGAUAUUAUUGUAAAAUUUUAAAUAAAUUUAGAUGUAACUAGAAUUAUAUGAGAUGAGACUAGAAAGAGUCCAAUUAAAAAUAUCAAAAAGUAGCAUCAAUGAUUAACUAAUUUACAAAGAUAAAUUAUUUAAUCUGUCAAAAAAAAAAGAUAAAUUAUUUAAUAUCAAAUUGAAGUAAAAUAUUUCAAUACAAAAUAUAAUAAAUUACUUUAUUACAAUAAUAGAUUAAAAUAAUUUAAUACAAGAAUAGAAUAAAAUAUCAAGCAGACAUAUUUUUUUUUAAGGAAUAUCAAGUAGACAUAUAAAAAUCUUAAUAUAAUAAUUACUCCCUUCGGUCCUAUUUAUAAGAGAAAUUUAGGUCAACAAAAGUGAAUGUAUUUGGACUGAAUUUUUAACUAGAUACAUCACCUUUUAUUGAUCCAGAAUUCUUUUAUAAAUAGGAUCGGAGGGAGUAGUAUUUUACAAGGAAAUUAUUUUUUUUCUGAAAGAAGAAAAGGAAAAUAUCUAUAUUGGCAACGUCACCCGUACAUAGCAGGUUUUGCACUAGCUAAAAUUAGAUUUACAUAAUGACCUUUACAAAGGUCAUUUGCAUUUGUAUAUCGUUUAAGAUGUAUGCAACCAGCAUACCUAGCUAAUACUCUUUUUUUUAUUGGAUGAACGUUGGUUUAUUUGGAAAUGUAAAAAUGGUGAAGCUUUCUCCAACAUUAGUUACCCUCUUUAAUCCAUUCUUAGCUAAAUCUAUUCUCUAUAUAAUUCCACCAAGAAUGCUUUUGCUGGUCAUGCUCUAAUUAACCCUAUUCCUUAGGUUGGAAGUUAAUAUUGAUGGUAGCUCAAUUGGUAACUUUGGUAAAUUAGGCUCUCAAGGCCUAAUCAUUAAUAUUUGUGGUCAUACCACUAAUAUUAAUGUUGAGUUUCAUACUAUUUUCUAUGGAUUACUGAUCACUUGGAACUAUUGUUUAAAGACAUCAUUUGUAAAUCAAAUUCUCCAUCGAUGUUGACCAUUAUCAAAGACGGAGUCGUACGUACUCAUCCUUAUGCUCCUCUUAUUGAUAUCCUAUAUUCUUUCAUUUUGAGAAAUAGAAAUGUUGUGUUGAAUCAAGGGCAGUUUCACCGCCCGGCGACCCCGGACGGUCGUCCGGGCUCGAUCGAUAAUUUUCGCAUACUAGAUCCAACCCAAAAGUCCAUUAACACACAAAAAGAAAAAUUUGGACAAUAUGAAAAUUCUCACUCGCAAAUAGGUCUAGGAAUUUUAUUUUGCACACUAUUGACGGGUUCAUCUCUCUUAUUUUAACGGAUUAAUUGUUCAAAUUGACCUUGUAAUAUAGAUUAUGUCUGAAAAAUGAUCCUGGAAAAUACAAAACAUAUAUUCUAGCAUUGUAACUUGAAUUUCUUCUUAUUUUUGACCACCUUAUAAUAUACGUGUAGUUUAAAAAUGUGACCUACAUGUUGAAUUUUUUCACUAAUUUUUUCAUACAUGUUUAUCACGUUAAAAUAUAGCUUUAUACAUGUUAUGAAACUUUACAUAUCCUUUUUAUGUAUUUUUAUAAAUAUCUCUGCAAAUAAUGAGUUCAAAAUUCGAUUUAUAAGUCGAGAUUUCUGUUGUUUUGUUUUUUGAGCUUUUGACACUUUAAAAAUUCAUAAUUAAUUUGUGGUUUGUGGAAAAUUUAUAAUUUUUUGUGUAAAGCCAUAUUUUAACGUUCUUAACUCGCCUCUAAAAAAACAUGAAAAAAUUCAAUCUCUCGUUGCUUUUUUGGACUUCGCGUAUAUUACAGAGUUAUAAAUAAUAAAAAACUCGAAUUACAUAGCCAGAAUACAUGUUAUUUAAUUACAGGGUAAAUUUUCAGACUUCACGUAUAUUACAUGGUCAAUUUCAAUUAAUAACCCUAUUUUAAAUUGUAUUUUUGUUGAUAAAAUGAUAAACCUUUUUUAUUUCAACUUAUGAUUGUUUAUAUAUUAUGUCAUAAGUGAAUUUGUGAUAAAUUUUUGUUCGGACUCCAUAAAUUUUCCGGCUUCGGCACUGUGUUGAAUAAUGAAUCAUGCUCUGUACUAUGGAAACUCGUGUGCAUACUCUUUCAUUUUAGGAGAUGUCGCUGAUGGUACAUCAUAGGUGACGACAAAAUGGGAUGUUAAUUAUUUUUUUUUAGGGAAAAAUGGGAUGUUAAUGUAUCACAUUGAUAUAAUGAUGGUUCUAAUUUUCUUAAAAAACUAUAAAAUUACAGAGACACAAAUGUCUAACUUAUAUGAAAUUUUGUGUGUUUGAGAAUUAAUGUAAUAGGAGCAUAUUUAAUGGUUGAAUUGGUAGAAGGUUUAUAGUCAAGAUGAGUUCUUAAAUAGAAUAGUUCUAUCUUGAGUCGAUUGCUUUAUUUUUUUUUUUUUUGGAUAAAAAAUAAAAUUCUUUAUUUAUAUCAAUAUUGUUGACUCUAGAUUAAUCAUGCGAGUAUAAUUCAUUUGAUAAAGACGUUAUAUUAUCUAUGAACCAUAGUUUAAAUCUAAAAUCGUCUAUUCUAAAAACUAUACUAUUUGAAAGAAAAAAAAAAGAAGAGAGUGUGCUUCCAAUGAAAAUGUCCAACCCUUUUCCUUUUUUGUUUGGGGAAAGAAAAAGCCGAACUUGCUGGAAACGCGUCCUAAUAAUUUAAUCAUAAAAAAAUAAGAUCUUAUCUUGAGAGUAGGCCAACCACGUGCAUUUAAAAAAAAAAGAGUGAAACAUGAUUUAAUUUGUAUGAUAUGUAUUAAUUUAUUAAGGGUAUCCAUUUUUUCUUUUUUAGGGUAUACAUACAUAUAUCAAGUUAUCACGUAUUGCCACUUUGUUAUAUAAUUUUUUUUACACUCCCUCCAUUGCUUAGUAUAAGACCCUUUGAUAAAAUUUUACAUAUAUUAAAAAAAGCUGGAAUUGUAGUUAAUGCAUAUCAAAGCAGGCAUGGAGGAUUUCUCCACCUCAAGUUCAAGUUCAUGUUCGAUAAGGUUUCUAAAUACCCCGAAUACGGGUUUAUAACAUCUAGUUUUCUAUUUUUACGGCUCUAUAUAUGAUGGCUACGUGCAGUCAGUUUAGUUAUAUUGCAUCAUCUCUUCAGUCAGAUACCAAUCGAUAACACAUUGAAGGAGUAUUGGUAUACCCCUAAAACUAAUUAUAGUUAAUUUAAAUAAAAAGAUGUGGGAUUUUGAGGUUACUCAGGUUUCCCCUUAGUCGAUUGAAAGUUAGACGGCUUACACGAGUAACUGCGUGACACGAUUAUUGUGUCAAAUUAAAAUCUCAUGUAUAAGAAGACAUCAAUUUCUUCCAAUUACGCAAUCAAGACAUUAGUCAUUGUCUGAUAUCGAUCUCAUGCUUCAAAAAUUAGAAAUGCACAAGCCUCGGCUCGAUUUUGUAACCUAUUUAUGCCCAAACGCAAUGUGCGUGUUUGAUCAAGUGAAAAAUGAAAACAAUUAAAAGAGGAAACGACUUCGGAUAACCUCACGAGUUACAUGUCCCAUCCCUGUUUAGUUAGAGGACAACACUACACUCUUUUUUUUGUACCCUUUAUAUUCUAACCCUCACAGAGUCAUACUUUCUAUUUCUCUAAGUUGAAAGAAAAACGUUCACGAGUAUUGAAUAUCAGAGAAAGGGGAAUUGAGAUGUAAUUCUCAUUUUAUUGUUGUGUAAAAAUCUGAUUUACAUAGAGAGCUGCUAUUGAUUUAUAUACAAAGUUAUAAAACUAUUGAAGUACUAUAACUGAUGUAAAACUAAUAACUAGGGAAGAACUAACAGACUUCUCUACUAUAAUAAUGAGAUAAAUUAGCAUCUUUAUUAGAUAAUAUCCCCCCACAAGCAGGACCAUGUAUGUCACAAUGGCCAAGCUUGGAGAUUAAGGAGCCAAAAGCGGGCUACAUCAGCGGUUUGGUCAGCACAUCAGCAAGUUGAGCAGAAGAAGGAAUAGGAAGGAGAUGAAUAAGCCCACUUUGGAUUUUCUCACGGACCACGUGACAAUCAAUCUCAAUGUGUUUGGUUCUCUCAUGAAAGGUGGGGUUGUGAGCGAGAUAAAUAGCAGAUUUAGUGUCACAGUAAACGGAGUCAGGUUGUGAAAAAGUAACAUGUAGAUCAUGAAACAAAUAUUGCAGCCACCGCAAUUCAUAAGAAAGGCUAGCAAGAGCGUGAUAUUCGGCUUCAGAACUUGACCGGGAAAUCGUAGAUUGCUUCUUGGACUUCCAAGAGAUGAGAUACAGUAUCCAGAAACAGAGCGACGGGUAGCAGGGCAAGAUGCCCAAUCCGAGUCAGCAAACCCAGACAACUUCAAAGGAGAAUUGGCAGAGAAGAAAAGUCCCUUUGCUGGGCAACUCUUCAAAUUUUUCAAGACACGAGUAGCAGCCUAGAAAUGAAUUUCUUGGGGGCGAGAAACAAAUUGACUAAGUUGCUGGACAACAAAUGCAAUAUCUAGGCGAGUUGUAGUGAGAUACAAAAGGCGACCAAUUAAGUGUCUGAAAGCAGAUUCAUCAUGAUACAAGGAAGAAUCUGAAUCAUGUAGUUUCAAGGGAGAGUCAUAGGGAGUAGAAUAAGGCUUCACAACAAGAUGGCCGAUGUCAGAGAGAAAAUCCAAAGUAUACUUGCGUUGAUUGAGCAAGAUACCACUCGGAGAUCGAGCUAUCUCAAGACCAAGAAAGAAGUGAAGUUUGCCAAGAUCUUUAAUACUGAACUGUUGAUCCAAGAAAGAUUUUACAUGUUGUAUUUCAGUGAGAUCAUCACCUGCGAGGACGAUAUCAUCCACAUAAACUAGAAGUGUUGUUAUUUUUGUACCAGAAGUCUUUGUAAAUAAAGAGUAGUCAGCAGAGUAAUGUUGGUAACCAAUGGAAACAAGAGUGGCUGAAAGUUUGGCAUACCACCGUCGGCUUGCUUGUUUAAGGCCAUAAAGAGAUUUGUGAAGCUUACAUACUUUGGUUGUCUCUAGGGAAGAGUUGGCAACCAUAAGGCCAGGCGGGAGUUUCAUGUAUACCUUUUCAUGAAGGUCUCCGUGAAGAAAAGCAUUAUUGACGUCAAGUUGCUCAAGAAACCAACCUUUGAUAGAAGCCAAGCUGAGAAGAGCUCUAAUAGUGGUCAAUUUUGCCACAGGAGAGAAAGUAUCGAAAUAGUCCACACCUUCCAUUUGAGUGUAACCCUUGGCGACAAGACGAGCUUUAUGACGCUCAAUGGUCCCAUCAACAUUGAAUUUUACCUUAUAAACCCACUUGCACCCAAUUGGAAUUUUGCCCAGUGGGAGGUCCACAAUUGACCAAGUUUCAAUGGCAGCAAGAGCUGUUAAUUCAGAUUUCAUAGCUUCUAUCCAACAUUCAGAUUUACAAGCUUGGGUGUAUGUUUAUGGCUCAGUGGUGGAAGAUAUAGUAAGACAAUAGUUUUUAUAAGGGAUAUCACAUUUAUCAUAAGAUAAAAAGGAAGAAAUGGAGUAAGCAGAAUUACCUGAUUGGUGCAGAGAAAAGGUUAGAAGACUGCAGUGAUAAUCUUCAAGAUAAGUUGGUUUACUUUUAGGUCUUGUAGAACGUAUCUGUAGCAUCGGUGAUAGGAGGAGGAGGUGCAGGAGGAGGAGUAGAAGUUAGAGGGGUAGGCUCAGAUGAAGCAGAAGCAGUAGAAGAUGGUGUAGGCAAAUUAUUAACCUGAUUUGGUUGAUGAACAAUGGAAUCAUACUCGGCAAUAGGGGUGAGAUCAUUGGAAUCAAAGGAAGUUUGGUGACUAGAUGAAGUAGAAGAAGAUGUGAGAGGGGAAGAAAAAGGAAACUGACUUUCAUAGAAAAUAACAUUUCUUGACAAGAAAAAGGCACUGGAAUGGAUAUCAUAGAGAAGAUAUCCUUUGGUUCCUUUUCUAUAUCCAAGAAAGACAGAUUUUCUAGCACGAGGAUAGAAUUUAGUACGGUUUUGUUGGAUAGUGGAAGCAAAAGCUAAGCAACCAAAGACCCGUAGGUGAAGAGUAGCUGGCUGUUUAUGGAGUAAUUCAUAUGGGCUUUUAUUGUGCAAGAUAGGAGAAGGAAUGCGAUUUAUAAUAUGCACUGCAUGCUGCACAGAAAAAGGCCAAAAAGAAAUAGGAAUUUUUGAUUGAAAGGAAAGGGCUCGGGCAACAUUAAGGAUGUGUUGAUGUUUCCGCUCAACAAUGCCAUUUUGUUGAGGGGUUUCAACACAAGAUCAAUGAUGAAUAAUACCUUUAGCUUGAUAAAAGUCAGACAUCAAGAAUUCAGACCCAUUAUCACUUCUUAAACACUUGAGUUUACAGUUGAAUUGAGUUUCAAUGAAAGAAAUAAAAUUGGUGAGAUGUUGUCUAGCCUCACUUUUGGUUUUAAUGAGAAUGAUUCAUGUAAAAUGACUAAAAUCAUCAACUAGUGUAAGGAAAUAUUUAUGGCCAGAAAUGGAUGGAGUGGCAUAUGGCCCCCAAAUAUCAGCAUGUAAUAGAUCAAAAAUAUUAGAAGUGCGAGUGAGACUAUGGGGAAAAGAUAACUUUCUUUGUUUUGCAUAAUGACAUAUAUCACAAGGAGAUCGAGAUUCUUUAAAAUUCACAAAGGGAAAUUGUGAUGAAAUACAUUUAUGUAUUGAAUCCGAUAUAUGUCCUAGUCUAGUGUGCCAAAUGGAAGAGGUUUGUGCGGUGUCACCGAGUGCUUGAGAGACAGAGUUACAAGAAAGACCAGAACUAGAACCAUAAUCUUGAAGUUGAAUUGAUAUAGGUUUCAACACAAACAGUGCUCCAAAUUUCUUAGCUGCACCAAUCAGUGUCCAGGUUGAAAUAUGCAAAAUGAAACAACCAUUAAUGGUGAAGAAGACAUCAUAAAUUGUGGUGUCUAAAAGCUGGGUGACAGAGAUAAAAUUAACAUGGAAAUUAGGGAUGUAAUAGACAUCAUGUAGAAUAAGGGAUUGAGAAAGUUGCACGGUGCCUGAAAUUGUGGCAAUGGUUUUAUGGCCAUUAGGUAAGACAUAAACACAUGAGAAAUUGUGUGAUAAGAGACAAAAUUAUGUAAGGAAUGUGUGAUAUGGUCAAUGGCACCAGAAUCUACAACCCAGUGGUCAGAGAUCUUACCAAAAGUGGGAGAAGAGGAUGAACUUAAAGCUGCAGGAUUAGAUAUAACAGAGUUGACAAAAGGUUGAUUGGGACUAGGAUUCGAGGGUCUUGAUGAAGCUUGUAAUGUUGAAUGCUGUAGAAGCUGUAAAAUAUGAUUAUACCGCUCUUGAAUGGUGUUGAUAGUAGCUGGAGUGCGAUUGGUGUGGCUUUCUCUUUGUGGGCCAUUAGAAGCAGUAGCAGCAACAUUUAUUGACUUAGAGUUUUUCUGUUGAUAACCAGGUGGAUAGACAUGUAAGGCAAACCAUGUGUCAAUAGUAUGAUUGCGUCUACCACAAUUAGUGCAGGUUCGAUUAUUAGAACCACGACCUCCAUAAUGACUUCCACGACCUCUGCCGCGACCACCAUGGUGAGCAGAAGCGAAACUCGAAUAAUUAUUGCCAGAAUUAGAAGUAGUUUGCUGAACCUGCAUAAUAGAAGACUGGUGAUCGACAGAAUUAUCAGUAACUGUAGAAAUUAACAUCUGUCGUUCUUGUUGAAGAACCAAGGAGAAGCAUCGAUCAAUAUCAGGUAAAGGAUUGAGAAGCAUGAUUUGAGACCGAACACUUGCAUAUUGUUCAUUCAAGCCUUUCAAGAAUUGGAUGACUUUGUCUUGUUCUUUGUGUCUCUUCAAAUCAGAUGCAGCACCACAGGUGGAGGGAAUAGCACUUGAACAAUCUUUGAGUGGUCGAAAUUCUCCAAUUCUUCCCAAAGUGUUGUCAAAUGAGAGAAAUAAGAAGAUAUGUCUAAGCUACCUUGCUGAUAGCGAGCAAUUUAUUCGAGAAGGUCAGCGAUUCUAAAGAUAUCGUCGUGUGUGAACCGCCGCUCCAAACACUUCCAGACCACCGCGACACGAUCGCACCACAUGAUUGACUUGGAGAUGGUUUCUGAAAUAGAGCGUUGGAUCCAGGAAAGUACCAUAUUGUUGCAACGGAUCCACGGAUCAUAAAGAGGAUCAGACACGGCUGGAAGAUUAAGAGUACCAUCAACAAAUUUCAACUUGUUCUUGGAGAUUAAUGCUACCUCCAUUGAGCGAGACCAUGACUGAUAGUUUUUGUGAUCAAGAAGAGGGGUAACAAGUAUAAUAGAUGGAUUCUCGUUAGGAUGAAGGUAAUAGGGAUUGGUAGGGUUUGUGGCAAAAUCAGCGAAAGGUUGAGUCUCCAUUGAUGAACAUCGAAGAAACACAAUCGCCAGAAGAAAAGCGGAAGUGAGCUAAUCUGAUACCAUAUUGAAUAUCAGAGAAAGAGGGAAUUGAGAUGUAAUUCUCAUUUUAUUGUUGUGUAAAAAUCUGAUUUACAUAGAGAGCUAUUAUUGAUUUAUAUACAAAGUUAUAAAACUAUUGAAGUACUGUAACUGAUGUAAAACUAAUAACUAGGGAAGAACUAACCGACCUCUCUACUAUAAAUGAGAUAAAUUAGCAUCUUUAUUAGGUAAUAACGAGUUUACACGCCUAGGGUUCACUUCACUACACUUAUUGAUUCCAAAUGUUCUUGUUACUGCUAUUAGUCACAAAUGCACAAUGUUGCAUUCUAGAGGGUACAAAAAAUAACCUGUACAUUGUAUACCUUUGCAAAAAAUAAUACAAUUUUUUUUUCUUUUGACUGUAUAAUUUAAAUAAUACUGAUCUUAAACCUAAAAUGUUUGAUCUUGAUAGGAUGAUUAUUGUGACCACGUCGAUUUACUUGGUGCAGGAAACCCAACCCCCUCUUUUUGCACUAGUACCGUCUCAAAAUCGAUACAAAUUAAGGAAUCUUUGGUCAAUAUAUAAAUCCUAUUAUGUUACCUUAAUUACUAUUGUGUAUUCAAAUUCAAGUAGGAAAAUAAUACAUAUUGUUUUGUUCUAAGGAGGAUAUUCAUAAUAAUUAAGAUACAAUUAUUAGGUGGCAUAUAUAUGAAAAAUAACAAUUAUAGCACGAGCUAUAUUGAUAGAUUAAAAUAACGACCACGGGGUAUGUGUAGCCUAGGUAAUGCUACUAUAAUCAAGAAACAUCUCAACUCAGUGCUUAUAAAUUCAUACAAUCUUUAAUUUCAUUUGUAGAUACAAAUAGUCCUAAAGACCAAGUCUCUGAGCAAAAGCUAGCUUAGCAACAAUACAAUGAGUUUGUUAAAAGUAGUUUUUGUUUGGUGCAUAUGGUUAGGGUUAUUUGAGUUAUCAUUAGCAAAAGUGAGACACUACAAGUUUGAUGUGGAAUACAUAUAUAAAACGCCAGAUUGCUUAGAGCAUGUUGUGAUGGGAAUCAAUGGCCAAUUUCCAGGCCCAACUAUUAAAGCUGAAGUUGGUGACACCCUUGACAUUGCACUCACCAACAAGCUUCAUACAGAGGGAACUGUUAUUCACUGGCAUGGAAUCAGACAGGUAAAUUUUCUUUCUCUUAUUCUAGAGGUUUUAAUCAUCACAAGCUAAGUAUAAUUAACAAUAAUGAUGCCUUUUAUUCGCAAAAUAUUAAGUAUUGCUCAUAAUAGUAACGGACGGUAUUAAACUGUACAUGAUUUUUUUUUUUUUUUUUGUGCUCGUCACUGCAUUUGAUUGUUGAUGGACAAGACAAAUAAUUUUGUAAUGCAUCUAAUUUAAUAUUUCUAUGCAUUUGAUAAAAUAUUAUAACUUUUAAUACAAUACUUGAAUGUAUAUCUUGUUUUAUCUUGCUUUAAUAUAUAUAUUUUGUAAUGCUGUCUGUUUUAUCCAAUCUAUGACCAAUUUCUAAUAAAGUAAAAGUAAUUUUUUUGUCAAUUCAUCGAGUUUUAAAAUAAAAUUAAAAACGCACCUUAUACAUAUUUUGUUGUUGUUUUGGGAAGAUUCAAUUUUUGUUGUUGUUUAUUAAUUAAAAUAAUAAUGUUUUGUAGAUUGGAACUCCUUGGGCUGAUGGAACUGCAGCAAUCUCUCAGUGUGCUAUAAAUCCAGGAGAAACUUUUCAUUACAGAUUCAUUGUUGACAGGGUAAUUAAUUAAUUAAAUAUUUGAUUAGUUUAAUCACAUAUUUAAGAUCAAGUGGCAUAUAUCUCCCAGGCCAGCAAUGGUUUUUCUUUUGUUGUUUUGUUUUUAAGUAUCUUUUAUUUUAUAAUAAUAUAAUAACUAGGGAUGGGUGUUUAAUCAUAUAUGGUGCAGCCUGGUACAUAUUUCUAUCAUGGACACUAUGGUAUGCAAAGAGCAGCAGGGUUGUAUGGUUCUCUAAUAGUGGAUUUACCAAAGAACCAAAGAGAGCCAUUUCAUUAAGAUGGUGAGUUCAAACUGCUCCUUAGUGAUCUGUGGCACACAAGUUCACAUGAACAAGAGGUUGGCCUCUCUUCUGCCCCAAUGAGAUGGAUUGGUGAACCACAGGUAUAUUUUCAACUUUUUCUUUUAUACAAAAAUAUCAUGUUCAUUCAAUUUACAUUUUCUUUAUUUAUGUUAUCAUAUCAUAGCUAUAUAUUUAUCAAUAUAAUAAUAGAAUAAAAAUUUAAUUCAUAUACAUUGUUAAUGUAAAAAAGUUUACAUUAUCAAUCAAUCACAACUGUUAAAUCAUUAAAAAUGUUUGACAUUUGUGUUUUACUCUAUCAUAACUACUUUUAACAUUGGUUAUUAUGAUGUUUAAAUUUAAAUCGAUCCUAAUUAAAACUAAAAAAAAUCAAAGAUUAUUGCAUGUCUUUAGAAUACCUUAUAGCCAAAUAGCAAAUCCAAUCUCUGUUUGGGGGUUUUUGAGGGGAGGACUUGUAAAAAAAGGAAGCAAGAAUUAGAAAGAAUGUAGAGCUUGGGGAGGGGAGGGGAGGGUUUUGAGGGGUUUAGUUUUUCAUAAUUCAAAAUCCUCCUAAUUUGGAGGAACUAAAAAAUUUGUAUUGGAGGAGUUUGGGGGGUUUGUGUAAAUUAUUAAAUCCAAUCUAUCUUGUUAUAUUACUUUAAAAAAAAAAUUAAUCGUAAGUAUUAAUUUAUCAUUUUAUACAAAAACACUCAAAAUUUUGAAAAAUUUCUCUUAUUUUUUUUCUUUCUCUAAUCUCAUCCCUACAAAGUUCUCCUCUAACUCUCAAACAUAACCUUAUGUUUUUAUUGAUCAUGCAUGUAUUAUUUAUUAUCCUAAACUUUUUAUAACUAAUUAACAUAUGGGAAAUGUUAACAGGAGCACUCUUUAAGCAUUUAAAGUGGUAAAAUUUUAUAAAAGUUUAUGCAUUUAUUUUAUUGGAAAUUAAAAUUUUUACUUUUUUAAAGAAUAAUUUCUAUGAUUCUAUUACUUCUCCCUAUAAAAUAAUGUUUUUGGUACUUUUUUAGGGGGUUCAAGAUUAUGUCACAUGGAUAGCUAUGACCUAUUUAAAAUACUAUAUAUUGAGUAUAUGGUCUCAAUAGACAGGGAAUAAAAAUGAAUGAAAAAGUUAUUUUAAUUUUUUUAAUUAGUUUUGUCAUUUUCUCUUUUAGAUCUUAGAACCCUAGUUUCCUUAGUGAAAUAUUUUAGAUGGUAUCAAUUGGUGCUUCAUCCUAAUCACAAAACCCUCCUAUGACUGAUUUUCCUUCCACAUAUCCAUAUUACUCGAUGCUCACAAUGCAACCACCAGUAUUAUAGCUCCAUUCCCCAACCCACACACACCUUAUUCAACUUAAUCUCCUCCAUGUGCAUACUCCACCUUUCACCCAUAUUAUUCAACCUUUAACACCAAUUUUCAGCUCCAUCAUCCUCAAACCCAUACCCUUCAUAUUUACCUUCCUCCAACCAAUACAUUUAUGGAUACCCAAACACCAUUUAAGCUCUACCAUCACCCAACCUAUAUACCUUUCCAAUUCAACUUCUUCCAACCCAUACAAUCAUGGCUACAGUCUACACACCACUUGCACCCACUCCAUAUUCAUUGUUAAUAAGUUAUUUUGGUCCAUAUGCAUGGUUUUCAAUAACAGUCUCAUCCGGAUUAUUCAAGCCACUCUCAUAUUAGCAAUUUUUCAGUUUUCUAAUAGUGUUUCUGGCUUUGAGGCUAUUGUUUUUUUUUUUUUUUUUUAAAAAAGACUUCGAGGCUAUUGCUUACUGUUAUAAUACUCAUAAGAUUAAAUAUAUUAAUCAUAACUCAUAAGUAUGCAAUUAACAUUGUACCAAAAAAAAAGUAUACAAUUAACAUUAUCUACAAAAAAAAAUAGUCUCAAAUUUUUAUAAGAUUUCUAUAUAUUUUUCUCUAUAGUCAUAUCCUCUAAAAAUCUCUAUUUCCUUCCCCACUAAACUUUCAAAUAGAGUCUUAAAGUGAGUUCUCACCACCGCUGGCCACUUGUAAGUUGUAAUAUUUUCUUUUUCAACAACACAUAUUUCAAAGAAGAAAUUUAAAUUUGAAUUUUAUAUUAUUAUAAUAAUGUAUAUUUUUAUUGAUAAUAUUUUAUAUUUUUAUAUUAUUAAUCUGAACUGGUGCUGCUGGAUUUAUCUUCCUUUUUUAUCCUUUAACUUCUAAUAAAGGAAAACAUAUUUUUCAAAAAUAAAUAAAAUAAGGGAAGCAUCGUAUUACAGUAUGUAUUUUAAAUUUCUACAGAAAAACAAAACAGUAAGUAUUUUAAAUAAGAGUAAUGCAAUAAGGGUAAUUUAAUCAUGGAUGGUACCUAAACAAAUAUGGAAUAGUAUUUUAUUAUUAUUAUUAUUAUUAUUAUUUUCGUAAAUGCAUAGCACCGCACCAUAAGCAACAUUAUCUUUUUCUUAUUAGUAAUUGCAUGCCAUAUGAAUGACAUUUUUUUUUACUAACACACCAUACAUUAUGAUGACAUUUUUAGAGCUUGCUUAUCAAUGGAAGAGGACAGUUCAAUUGUUCCCUAGCAGCUAAUUUCGUGAACACUACCCUGCCUCAAUGCAAUUUCAAAGGUGGUGAAGAAUGCGCACCCAAGAUUCUCCAAGUAGCGCCAAAAAAGACCUAUAGAAUAAGGAUUGCUAGUACAACGUCCUU